Molecule: long non-coding RNA, 2235 nt
Filed under: Populus trichocarpa (black cottonwood)
Lineage: Eukaryota; Viridiplantae; Streptophyta; Magnoliopsida; Malpighiales; Salicaceae
Description: long non-coding RNA (PTRI_LNC003429)
Source: RNAcentral
GUUUGCUAAGAGAAGUAAGUGUGUUUUCUAUAUCAAUGAAAUCAAGUACACGAGUCAUGUGAUUUCUAAGGAAAAGAGAGCUACCAAUCCUCAAAUGAUUCAAGCUAUUUUGAAAUGAAUAUUCGACCUAUUUAAGAGGAAUUAAUUGAUCCAUCAAAUUAAAAAAAAACACAACCAAUAACUUCAGCUUUUCUUCUCAAAUAAAAAAACCAAGAUUUUACAAUGAAAAGACAUCCGAUCUUCCAAAUCAACCACUGUCGAAAAAAGAUGAGAGACAAGGAGGGAUGGGAUAACUUCAAAUAAAUAAUCAAACAAAGCCUCUCUCCACGCAACAAACCGGCCAUCAAUACACCCACAGUGACCGCCGAUCAACAAAACCAGUUGCCACAAUCGAACACAACAACCAUCCACUGCCUGCUGCAACUCCUCCAUCACCAAUCAUUUUCCCACAACCACCAUCAACACAGCGGUGAUCUUCCAGCCCACCUUCUCAAAACCGAUCCCAAUCUUCCCUCUCUUUCAAUCAAACCCAUCCUCUCAUCUACUCACAAAUCAGCCACCAUCACAAUCCUUCUUCACAGAGUCCAAACAAAAAUCAAAAUCAUUCCCAGCCUCUCAACCGUGAGUCACUGCCCGAACCAUCUCCACAACCCAAACUGACCACCACAGCCCACAUCCGCAAUUGUUUUUUAUAUGACCCCACAUCUAGAAGCUGUACCAAAGAUCCAAGGAGAGAGUAGAAGUGUAAAGAAGAGAGAAAGUGACAGUGAAAAAGAGAAAGUGAAGUUUUGAAUUAAAAUUGAUUUAUGAGUGGCUGAGAGAGAGAAGAAAAGCACUGGACUAGUAUUGUUGAUGAAAAAAUUCCAGUAUUGGUGGUGGACUGGAAAAGGAGGCAGUUGGGGAAGGGAGGCUCUUAUUCCUUCCUCGGUGGAUUUCCUUAGAUUUCCAGUGUUAUCAAAUUAUAAACUUAAACUGUAAUUCGUGAAAGAAUUCAGAAAUAAAAGUGAUCGAGGACAGGAGGGUAAAAUUAAUUUUCUCUUGAAAAACACAAAAAACAGCAGGAUUUCAGGGGAAUUUCAAAUCAAUCAAAAGGACUUUAGGGUUCCUCGAACAUAGCCAGCACCAUGAAAUUAAUAUACAUAAUGAAUUGUCAGAUAAUUUCAAUGAACGCAUGGCAACCUCAAUGACAUACCCAAACUGAAGUGGGGCAUCAACAACUACAGUGGCAUGACGAGACACGAAGCAGAAAUAUGUCAAACUUGCAUGAGCAUUGGAGCUGAGAAUUGACGAAACAGAAAUAGAAGCAAUCGCCAUACUCUGUUCAGUAUGCAGAGAUGGGGAAAGAAUGUAAUAGACACUGUACAUAAUAAGAGGUUCCACCACACUUGAUAUGAUGAUGAAAACCUUGCCUAUUAACAAUCUCUUGAUCUUAUUAUUUUCCUCUGGUAAUGAAACCUUAUUAAGACUGGUAGAGUCCUUGCCUUCAUUAUUAAAAUGGAUAGGUGUGGCAAGCGACUCCCUUUCUCAUUUGCCUGGAUGAGUGAUUCCUAGGACAACCAUCACUGCAGGAUCUUACCACACUGCCUGGUACGUUUUUUUUUUUGCGGCACAAACUACACAGCCACCACAAGCAUGGGCCAUCUCAGUUUCCACUCCUCACCAUGUUGCCACAUCCACCGCCACAACCACCACAUCCACCACAACCCCCACAACCACCACUAUUUCCACUCUUCAUUGUGUCACCACACCCACUGUCACCAGAGUUUCCACUCCUCACCAUGUUGCCACAUCCACCGCCACAUCCACCGCCACAUCCACCACAACCACCACUAUUUCCACUCUUCAUUGUGUCACCACACCCACUGUCACCAGAGUUUCCACUCACCAUGUCCCCGCAUCCACUGCCACAACCACCACAACCACCACCACAGUUUCCACUCCUCACCAUGUCCCCGCAUCCACUGCCACAACCGCCACAACCGCCACCACAAUUUCCACUCCUCACUAUGCUUCCUUUAGCCACGUCCACAUUCAGCUCCAUGUUACCUUCUGAAGCAGCAGUCAGGCUGAUUUGCUCAGGUUCCUCAUGAAAGCCUUUGGCCUUUUCCACUAAACUAUCUACCUCCAGAUUUUCUCUGUUAGAAGUGAAGCCAUUAUAUCCUUCCUUCUUCAAAAUAUCAGAAAGUAUGAAGGCUGAUAUGAUUGCAGGUAACACCAACCAUGAUUCCUUUACCU